ACGGAGGGGGCUAGCGUUGUUCGGAAUUACUGGGCGUAAAGCGCACGUAGGCGGAUUGGUCAGUCAGAGGUGAAAGCCCGAAGCUCAACUUCGGAACUGCCUUUGAUACUGCCAAUCUAGAGUCCGGGAGAGGUGAGUGGAAUUCCUAGUGUAGAGGUGAAAUUCGUAGAUAUUAGGAAGAACACCAGUGGCGAAGGCGGCUCACUGGCCCGGUACUGACGCUGAGGUGCGAAAGCGUGGGGAGCAAACAGG
RNAcentral lists this ribosomal RNA (252 nucleotides) under uncultured bacterium. RNAcentral's name for it is "partial 16S ribosomal RNA". It matches the Rfam family "Bacterial small subunit ribosomal RNA", at positions 525 to 776 of the family's 1533-position model. The record is from RNAcentral.